GACGAACGCUGGCGGCGCGCCUAACACAUGCAAGUCGAACGGAGUUGUGUUGAAAGCUUGCUGGAUAUACAACUUAGUGGCGGACGGGUGAGUAACACGUGAGUAACCUGCCUCUCAGAGUGGAAUAACGUUUGGAAACGACUGCUAAUACCGCAUAAGCGCACAGUGUUGCAUGGCACAGUGUAGAAAAACUCCGGUGGUAUGAGAUGGACCCGCGUCUGAUUAGCUAGUUGGUGGGGUAACGGCCUACCAAGGCGACGAUCAGUAGCCGGCCUGAGAGGGUGAACGGCCACAUUGGGACUGAGACACGGCCCAA
Molecule: ribosomal RNA, 316 nt
Filed under: uncultured bacterium
Lineage: Bacteria
Description: bacterial SSU rRNA
Rfam family: Bacterial small subunit ribosomal RNA
Source: RNAcentral